RNAcentral lists this ribosomal RNA (253 nucleotides) under uncultured bacterium. RNAcentral describes it as "partial 16S ribosomal RNA". It matches the Rfam family "Bacterial small subunit ribosomal RNA", at positions 524 to 776 of the family's 1533-position model. The record is from RNAcentral.
UACGAAGGGGGCUAGCGUUGUUCGGAAUUACUGGGCGUAAAGCGUGCGCAGGCGGCUUCUCAAGUCAGGGGUGAAAGCCCAGAGCUCAACUCUGGAAUUGCCUUUGAGACUGAGUGGCUUGAGUACGGGAGAGGUGAGUGGAAUUCCCAGUGUAGAGGUGAAAUUCGUAGAUAUUGGGAAGAACACCUAUGGCGAAGGCAGCUCGCUGGAACGGUACUGACGCUGAGGCGCGAAAGCGUGGGGAGCGAACAGG